CCUANGGGGGGCUGCAGUGAGGAAUAUUGCACAAUGGAGGAAACUCUGAUGCAGCAACGCCGCGUGGAGGAUGACGCAUUUCGGUGUGUAAACUCCUUUUAUUAGGGAAGAUAAUGACGGUACCUAAUGAAUAAGCACCGGCUAACUCCGUGCCAGCAGCCGCGGUAAUACGGAGGGUGCAAGCGUUACUCGGAAUCACUGGGCGUAAAGGGUGCGUAGGCUGGCUUUUAAGUCAGAUGUGAAAUCCAAUGGCUCAACCAUUGAACUGCAUUUGAAACUGAGAGCCUAGAGUUCAGAAGGGGCAGAUGGAAUUAGUGGUGUAGGGGUAAAAUCCGUAGAUAUCACUAGGAAUAUCAAAAGCGAAGGCGAUCUGCUGGGAUGAUACUGACGCUGAGGCACGAAAGCGUGGGGAGCAAACAGGAUUAGAUACCCCGNUANUC
RNAcentral lists this ribosomal RNA (440 nucleotides) under uncultured bacterium. RNAcentral's name for it is "bacterial SSU rRNA". It matches the Rfam family "Bacterial small subunit ribosomal RNA", at positions 338 to 795 of the family's 1533-position model. The record is from RNAcentral.